AUAUGCUUGCAUAUUGCACUGACAGUCCUCUUUCCUAUCAAAAUGGUAGCAAGACUGAAUGGAGCUACUACAAGGUAGUUAUCCUAUUACAUCAACUUAAAGCUAUUAAUCCUUCAACAAGUCGAGCCAAUCCUUCUGAAAAGUACAUCCAAGUUAUCUCUGUUGAUAGUCAUGAAUUCUGGUUCAUGGGCUUCUUAAAUUACGACGGUGCUGUAACAUGCCUACAGGAAGCUUUGCAACAACAUCGUUUACAAUCUGUGUGAUAUUUUUUCUACCAGCAUAACCUUCACCCGGUCAUAACAUGUUUCUUCAUGUGAGCAUUUGAUCUACUGCUUGGAGGCAUUUGAUGGAAAAAGCUCGUUCGGGGGCUCUUCAAUAUUCUAUGGCAAUGGAAAAAUAGGUAAUGGUAGAGUUUGUAUCUGGAAAUCAUAUGGAAGUUAGAAGAAAAGAGUACAAUGGAUCUGCUCUGUUUUAAGCUCUUCUGGUUUUAGUUUGACUUUAUAUAAUCCUUCCUAUAACUAGAUAGCAUACCGAAUAUUUCGACAUAUGUUUUCUGUGUGCAACUGCCUUGUCGAAUAGGUUUCGAUUAA
Molecule: long non-coding RNA, 590 nt
Organism: Hibiscus syriacus
Lineage: Eukaryota; Viridiplantae; Streptophyta; Magnoliopsida; Malvales; Malvaceae
Exons: 2
Source: RefSeq, a predicted model, not a curated record